This 494-nucleotide ribosomal RNA is filed under the name uncultured bacterium. Its description in RNAcentral is "partial 16S ribosomal RNA". It matches the Rfam family "Bacterial small subunit ribosomal RNA", at positions 28 to 507 of the family's 1533-position model. The record is from RNAcentral.
GACGAACGCUGGCGGCGCGCUUAACACAUGCAAGUCGAACGGAAAGGCCUUCUUUCCCUUGUGGAUUGCGGUUACUCUAGUGUCGAACGGGUGAGUAACACGUGAGUUAUCUUCCCCCAACUUUUCUAUAAGCCUGGGAAACUUCGUCUAAUUCCCUAUUGGACUGCAGUGUGGUGCCUGUGGUGGAAAACGAUUUUCUUGUGGUUGGGGAUGAGCUCGCGGGGUAUCAGGUUGUUGGUGUGGUAAUGGCCGACGAAGGGGGGGACAGGUAGCCGGCCAGAGAUGGUGGACCGGAAAAGUGGGACUGAGAGACGGGGCAGAAGAGAACGGGAAGAAGCAGUGGGGAAGAUUGAGCAAGGAGCGGAAGCCUGAUGGAGCGACGCUGAGUCGGGGAUGACGGGCUUCGGAUUGUAAACUCCUUUCGAGAGAGAGGAAGCCACCUGGUUGGAGGGGUGGUGACGGUAGUGGUAGAAGAAGCACCGGCUAACUACGUG